Molecule: unclassified non-coding RNA, 587 nt
Filed under: Hevea brasiliensis (rubber tree)
Lineage: Eukaryota; Viridiplantae; Streptophyta; Magnoliopsida; Malpighiales; Euphorbiaceae
Source: RNAcentral
GUAAACUAUGUGUAUCAAUGUAAGUAUAUAUAUACAGAGUUCUCAAGCCCGAACAACAGCUCAGUUGGCUGUCCUCUCGUUUUAUAUUCAUUUUCUUUUUUAUUUUUUAGGCCCCUCCUUCUUCUUCUUCUUCGAAAUCUCCAGAACUGCAAGUAAGAGGGCGAGAAUAAUUCCACAUUGAAAUCCCAUAUUCUUAUUACUUUAACUCUAUAUUGAUUUUAUCCGUUUUUUCUUGGGAAAAAUCGUAGUGAGUUUAAGAUUUUCCUUUUCUUUUGUUGGUUCGGAUUUUUUUAGGAGAAAAAAAAAAAACAUUCUUGAAACAGUGGAGCCAUCGGGUUGCAUUUUGUGGGAGAGAUCUGGGAUUUUGUUUCUUUAUUUGGAGGUUUUGGCAGAUUCUUGAUUUUCCAGCAGCUGGGGAACCGGUGAGCUUAGUUUUCUUGAAUAGCAAGAAUUGAAAAUUCAUCAUUCAUGGAUACGGGGGGGAGUUUUGCCUUUGAGAGACGCCAUUGAUUCUGGAAAGCGAGAGAAAAUAAAGUAGAAGCUCAUAGACAUUACGCGCUCUUUCUCUCUCUCUCCCUCUCUCUCUC